UAAAAAAUUUUGGCGGUAUUUUAAGCUUAUUAGAGGAAUUUGCUCUGUGAUGGACACAACGCCUUAAUCUUACUUAAUUUAGUAAUUUAAAUCAGUUUGUAUACCACUAUAUUAAUUAUAUUGAAUAGUUAUAUUUAAAAUUUUUUUUUAAAAAAUAUAUUAAGUCAAGGUGCAUCUAAUAAUUAUGAAUGAAGUGAAUUACAUUAAUUUUAAUGUAAUUUUUUACAUGAAAAAAUUAAUUAGGAUUUAAUAGUAAAAUACUAAUAUUAUGAGUAUUUGAAUCAAGCUCUAAAAUAUGCACAUAUCGCCCGUCGCUCUCAGAAGUGAGAUAAGUCGUAACAAAGUAAAAAUACUGGAAAGUGUUUUUUAAAAUGAAAUCAUUCGAUGUUUCAUUUACAAUGAAAAUUUUGUUGUUUAACCAUUUUAA
This 427-nucleotide ribosomal RNA is filed under the name Ixodes scapularis (black-legged tick). RNAcentral describes it as "partial 12S ribosomal RNA". Lineage: Eukaryota; Metazoa; Arthropoda; Arachnida; Ixodida; Ixodidae. The record is from RNAcentral.